RNAcentral lists this long non-coding RNA (522 nucleotides) under Drosophila guanche. Lineage: Eukaryota; Metazoa; Arthropoda; Insecta; Diptera; Drosophilidae. The record is from RNAcentral.
GCAUUUUAUGCAAAGCAAACUGGCAAAAAACUACUCGAUAAAUCGAUAAUGUUACAAUCCAGAGAGCCCCUUUAUGAAGGGCCUAUCGAUUCGAAUCAGUCGCUUACCGAGCUUCGUGGCAAAAAUAUCAUGCAAGUACUUUUCAUGGGCAAGGGGCAGCAAUUGUAUCAAAACAAACUACCAUAUGGAGUCCAUAUGGUGAACGUGGCUGCUGGUGUGUCCAUCUUUCGUCCUCCGCUCUUUGAGCGCGAUCUCGUCCCCUAUGGGUUGCCGACAAGGAUAAGCUCUUCGAGACCUUUCAUGUCACUAUCUUUGCCGACGUAUGCAACAUGCUCAUCAAUCAGUUGGGCUGGACAGCGCUACCAGGCCCAAAGACCACUGUCCUCACCUAUUGCGGAAACGAUGGGUAGGAGUGACUGCAGCUGCCCCUGCAAGUAACUGAGUACGAUAUGGAUCUGGAGCUGAGCAAUAACAAUUUUACUCUCCUCUCGCACUCACGAUAAAAACAUCCAUAUCCCCACC